RNAcentral lists this transfer RNA (68 nucleotides) under Helianthus annuus (common sunflower). RNAcentral describes it as "tRNA HanXRQr2_Chr15g0695041". The record is from RNAcentral. Lineage: Eukaryota; Viridiplantae; Streptophyta; Magnoliopsida; Asterales; Asteraceae.
GCCCGGCCUAGUGGUUAAAGGUUCGUUUGUUAAACUUGAGGUCACGCGUUCGAUUCCGGUUUUGGGCC